GACGAACGCUGGCGGCGUGCCUAAUACAUGCAAGUAGAACGCUGAAGGAGGAGCUUGCUCUUCUGGAUGAGUUGCGAACGGGUGAGUAACGCGUAGGUAACCUGCCUGGUAGCGGGGGAUAACUAUUGGAAACGAUAGCUAAUACCGCAUAAGAGUAGAUGUUGCAUGACAUUUACUUAAAAGGUGCAAUUGCAUCACUACCAGAUGGACCUGCGUUGUAUUAGCUAGUUGGUGGGGUAACGGCUUACCAAGGCGACGAUACAUAGCCGACCUGAGAGGGUGAUCGGCCACACUGGGACUGAGACACGGCCCAGACUCCUACGGGAGGCAGCAGUAGGGAAUCUUCGGCAAUGGACGGAAGUCUGACCGAGCAACGCCGCGUGAGUGAAGAAGGUUUUCGGAUCGUAAAGCUCUGUUGUAAGAGAGAACGAGUGUGAGAGUGGAAAGUUCACACUGUGACGGUAUCUUACCAGAAAGGGACGGCUAACUACGUG
RNAcentral lists this ribosomal RNA (494 nucleotides) under uncultured bacterium. RNAcentral's name for it is "partial 16S ribosomal RNA". It matches the Rfam family "Bacterial small subunit ribosomal RNA", at positions 28 to 507 of the family's 1533-position model. The record is from RNAcentral.